RNAcentral lists this ribosomal RNA (497 nucleotides) under uncultured bacterium. Its description in RNAcentral is "partial 16S ribosomal RNA". It matches the Rfam family "Bacterial small subunit ribosomal RNA", at positions 28 to 507 of the family's 1533-position model. The record is from RNAcentral.
GAUGAACGCUGGCGGCGUGCCUAAUACAUGCAAGUCGAGCGAACAGACGAGGAGCUUGCUCCUCUGACGUUAGCGGCGGACGGGUGAGUAACACGUGGAUAACCUACCUAUAAGACUGGGAUAACUUCGGGAAACCGGAGCUAAUACCGGAUAAUAUAUUGAACCGCAUGGUUCAAUAGUGAACGACGGUUUUGCUGUCCCUUAUAGAUAGAUCCGCGCCGCAUUAGCUAGUUGGUAAGGUAACGGCUUACCAAGGCAACGAUGCGUAGCCGACCUGAGAGGGUGAUCGGCCACACUGGAACUGAGACACGGUCCAGACGCCUACGGGAGGCAGCAGUAGGGAAUCUUCCGCAAUGGGCGAAAGCUUGACGGAGCAACGCCGCGUGAGUGAUGAAGGUCUUCGGAUCGUAAAACUCUGUUAUUAGGGAAGAACAAAUGUGUAAGUAACUAUGCACGUCUUGACGGUACCUAAUCAGAAAGCCACGGCUAACUACGUG